RNAcentral lists this ribosomal RNA (253 nucleotides) under uncultured bacterium. RNAcentral describes it as "partial 16S ribosomal RNA". It matches the Rfam family "Bacterial small subunit ribosomal RNA", at positions 524 to 776 of the family's 1533-position model. The record is from RNAcentral.
UACGAAGGGGGCUAGCGUUGCUCGGAAUCACUGGGCGUAAAGCGCACGUAGGCGGAUUGCUAAGUCAGGGGUGAAAUCCUGGAGCUCAACUCCAGAACUGCCCUUGAUACUGGCGGUCUCGAGUCCGGGAGAGGUGAGUGGAACUGCGAGUGUAGAGGUGAAAUUCGUAGAUAUUCGCAAGAACACCAGUGGCGAAGGUGGCUCACUGGCCCGGUACUGACGCUGAGGUGCGAAAGCGUGGGGAGCAAACAGG